Molecule: ribosomal RNA, 256 nt
Filed under: uncultured bacterium
Lineage: Bacteria
Description: partial 16S ribosomal RNA
Rfam family: Bacterial small subunit ribosomal RNA
Source: RNAcentral
UACGUAGGGAGCAAGCGUUUGUCCGGAAUCAUUGGGCGUAAAGCGCGUGUAGGCGGCCCGGUAAGUCCGCUGUGAAAGUCGGGGGCUCAACCCUCGAAUGCCGGUGGAUACUGUCGGGCUAGAGUGCGGGAGAGGCGAGUGGAAUUCCUGGUGUAGCGGUGAAAUGACGCAGAUAUCAGGAGGAACACCGAUUGCGAAGGCAGCUCGCUGGAACGUAACUGACGCUGAGAACGCGAAAGCGUGGGGAGCAAACAGG